RNAcentral lists this ribosomal RNA (279 nucleotides) under uncultured bacterium. Its description in RNAcentral is "partial 16S ribosomal RNA". It matches the Rfam family "Bacterial small subunit ribosomal RNA", at positions 506 to 784 of the family's 1533-position model. The record is from RNAcentral.
UGCCAGCCGCCGCGGUAAUACUGAAGGUGCGAGCGUUAAUCGGAAUUACUGGGCGUAAAGCGCGCGUAGGCGGCUUGUUAAGUCGGAUGUGAAAGCCCCGGGCUCAACCUGGGAACUGCACUCGAUACUGGCAAGCUAGAGUACGGGAGAGGGUUGUGGAAUUCCACGUGUAGCGGUGAAAUGCGUAGAUAUGUGAAGGAACAUCAGUGGCGAAGGCGACCUUCUGGACUGAUACUGACACUGAGGUGCGAAAGCGUGGGGAGCGAACAGGAUUAGAUA